CACGUAGGGUGCGAGCGUUGUCCGGAAUUAUUGGGCGUAAAGAGCUCGUAGGCGGUGUGUCGCGUCGGCCGUGAAAACCUGCAGCUUAACUGUGGGCGUGCGGUCGAUACGGGCAUCACUGGAGUUCGGUAGGGGAGUGGGGAAUUCCUAGUGUAGCGGUGAAAUGCGCAGAUAUUAGGAGGAACACCGGUGGCGAAGGCGCCACUCUGGGCCGAAACUGACGCUGAGGAGCGAAAGCAUGGGUAGCAAACAGG
This 254-nucleotide ribosomal RNA is filed under the name uncultured bacterium. RNAcentral describes it as "partial 16S ribosomal RNA". It matches the Rfam family "Bacterial small subunit ribosomal RNA", at positions 524 to 776 of the family's 1533-position model. The record is from RNAcentral.